RNAcentral lists this ribosomal RNA (497 nucleotides) under uncultured bacterium. RNAcentral describes it as "partial 16S ribosomal RNA". It matches the Rfam family "Bacterial small subunit ribosomal RNA", at positions 28 to 507 of the family's 1533-position model. The record is from RNAcentral.
GAUGAACGCUGGCGGCGUGCCUAAUACAUGCAAGUCGAGCGAACAGACGAGGAGCUUGCUCCUCUGACGUUAGCGGCGGACGGGUGAGUAACACGUGGAUAACCUACCUAUAAGACUGGGAUAACUUCGGGAAACCGGAGCUAAUACCGGAUAACAUGUUGAACCGCAUGGUUCAACAGUGAAAGACGGUUUUGCUGUCACUUAUAGAUGGAUCCGCGUCGCAUUAGCUAGUUGGUAAGGUAACGGCUUACCAAGGCAACGAUGCGUAGCCGACCUGAGAGGGUGAUCAGCCACACUGGAACUGAGACACGGUCCAGACUCCUACGGGAGGCAGCAGUAGGGAAUCUUCCGCAAUGGGCGAAAGCCUGACGGAGCCACGCCGCGUGAGUGAAGAAGGUCUUCGGAUCGUAAAGCUCUGUUAUUAGGGAAGAACAAAUGUGUAAGUAACUAUGCCCGUCUUGACGGUACCUACUCAGAAAGCCCCGGCUAACUACGUG